This 756-nucleotide long non-coding RNA is filed under the name Nicotiana benthamiana. Its description in RNAcentral is "long non-coding RNA (NBEN_LNC033197)". Lineage: Eukaryota; Viridiplantae; Streptophyta; Magnoliopsida; Solanales; Solanaceae. The record is from RNAcentral.
GCAAAUCAACAGCCAAUGCACAAUAUGCCCAGAGUUUCAACAAAAUUGUGAGAGAACUAAGCUCAAACGGGAUCAAAUUCAACCACUGAUAGUAUUUAGAUAUAAAAUGAGUAUUUUAGCUUUAGUAUUGAAGAGAAGAGUUUAGGAUCCCCAUCUAAUGCCCCAAAUGGUUCAAUUUAUAGCACAACUGUUAGGGCAUCAGAUUCUACUAGUUUUCUUUUUAGUCCUUCACUCAACUUGUAUUUUUUGCCUAAGUGAUCCUUCAAUUCCUAACUUGUGCCUCAAGUUUGAGGCUGGAAUUAUGUAUUAGUCCCUGCUAGAAGGUUCUAAAAGAUUCCUAUCAGAUUUUUAUAGAUUCAAAACCCUUUUAUACCCUCACCAGCUUUCCUAAAUUACCUACCCCUAAAUUUUUACCCCAGUCAAUUCUUUUAACCUUAGUUCAAUCACAAUUAACCUUGGUUAGUUCUUUGACUCCAAUUCAAUCACAAUUGAACUUGGCCGACCAAACUUGGACCAAAUUUAUAUUAACAGACUCAUGAAGAUCAGACUUAUCUAAAAUUAACCAAGGCUUACACCUGAUACACCUUGGUAGACCAAACCUGGGCCAAAUUUAUAUUAACAGACUCAUGAAGAUCAGACUUAACUAAAAUCAACCAAGACUUACACCUGAUACAGACUUCAUACAGGAUUAACAGAAUAACCAGGAGAGUGAAUACAUCUAUCGCACUUAGCUUUCAGAAAUAGUUCCAAUCAAAA